Molecule: ribosomal RNA, 497 nt
Filed under: uncultured bacterium
Lineage: Bacteria
Description: partial 16S ribosomal RNA
Rfam family: Bacterial small subunit ribosomal RNA
Source: RNAcentral
GAUGAACGCUGGCGGCGUGCCUAAUACAUGCAAGUCGAGCGGACGGACGAGAAGCUUGCUCCCCUGCUGUUAGCGGCGGGCGGGCGAGUAACACGUGCAUCACAUUCUUCUUUUACUGGGAUAACUUCGGAAAACCGGUGCUAAUACCAGAUAAUAUUUUCAACCGGAUGGUUCAAGAGAGCUUGACGCUCUUCCCGUUUCUUUUAGACGAAUCCGCGCUGCAUUAGCUAGUUGGUAAGGUAACGGCUUACCAAGGCAACGAUGCGUAGCCGACCUGAGAGGGUGAUCGGCCACACUGGAACUGAGACACGGUCCAGACUCCUACGGGAGGCAGCAGUAGGGAAUCUUCCGCAAUGGGCGAAAGCCUGACGGAGCAACGCCGCGUGAGUGAAGAAGGUCUUCGGAUCGUAAAACUCUGUUAUUGGGGAAGAACAUAUGUGUAAGUAACUGUGGACAUCUUGACGGUACCUAAACAGAAAGCCACGGCUAACUACGUG